GUCCUUUUGUAUAAAAUUUAAGGUCUAGCCUGCCCACUGAAAUUUUUAAUGGCCGCGGUAUUUUGACCGUGCUAAGGUAGCAUAAUCAUUAGUUUUUUAAUUGAAAGCUAGAAUGAAGGGUUGGAUGAAAAAAUAACUGUCUCUAAUUAAUUAUAAUUGAAUUUUAUUUUUAAGUUAAAAAGCUUAAAUUUAUUUAAAAGACGAGAAGACCCUAUAGAGUUUUAUAAAAAUAUUUUAUAAAAAAAUUUAAGAAUUAAAAAUUAUUUAUAUUAAUUUUAUUUGGUUGGGGUGAUUUAAAAAUUUAAAAAACUUUUUUUUAUUUACACUAUUAAUUUAUAAAUAUUUGAUCCAAUUAUUUUGAUUAUAAGAAAAAAUUACCUUAGGGAUAACAGCGUAAUUUUAUUUGAAAGUUCAAAUUGAAAAUAAGGAUUGCGA
Molecule: ribosomal RNA, 435 nt
Filed under: Hermaeophaga cicatrix
Lineage: Eukaryota; Metazoa; Arthropoda; Insecta; Coleoptera; Chrysomelidae
Description: partial 16S large subunit ribosomal RNA
Source: RNAcentral